Molecule: microRNA precursor, 85 nt
Filed under: Bombyx mori (domestic silkworm)
Lineage: Eukaryota; Metazoa; Arthropoda; Insecta; Lepidoptera; Bombycidae
Description: mir-2807 microRNA precursor family
Rfam family: mir-2807 microRNA precursor family
Source: Rfam by way of RNAcentral
UUAACUCGAAUUUGUAUGCAGUUGGAACAGCGCCCCUAGCGGCAAACGUACGCAAACGUUCCAACUCCAUACAAAUUUUGAGUUA